RNAcentral lists this ribosomal RNA (545 nucleotides) under fungal endophyte. RNAcentral's name for it is "eukaryotic LSU rRNA". The stretch from base 168 to 321 matches the Rfam family "5.8S ribosomal RNA". The record is from RNAcentral. Lineage: Eukaryota; Fungi.
AUCCGUAGGUGAACCUGCGGAAGGAUCAUUACCGAGUUUACGGGCUUCGGCUCGACUCUCCCACCCUUUGUGAACGUACCUCUGUUGCUUUGGCGGCUCCGGCCGCCAAAGACCUCCAAACUCCAGUCAGUAAACGCAGACGUCUGAUAAACAAGUUAAUAAACUAAAACUUUCAACAAGGGAUCUCUUGGUUCUGGCAUCGAUGAAGAACGCAGCGAAAUGCGAUAAGUAAUGUGAAUUGCAGAAUUCAGUGAAUCAUCGAAUCUUUGAACGCACAUUGCGCCCCUUGGUAUUCCGGGGGGCAUGCCUGUUCGAGCGUCAUUACAACCCUCAAGCUCUGCUUGGAAUUGGGCACCGUCCUCACUGCGGACGCGCCUCAAAGACCUCGGCGGUGGCUGUUCAGCCCUCAAGCGUAGUAGAAUACACCUCGCUUUGGAGUGGUUGGCGUCGCCCGCCGGACGAACCUUCUGAACUUUUCUCAAGGUUGACCUCGGAUCAGGUAGGCAUACCCGCUGAACUUAAGCAUAUCAAUAAGCGGAGCACGG